RNAcentral lists this ribosomal RNA (468 nucleotides) under uncultured bacterium. Its description in RNAcentral is "partial 16S ribosomal RNA". It matches the Rfam family "Bacterial small subunit ribosomal RNA", at positions 28 to 507 of the family's 1533-position model. The record is from RNAcentral.
GACGAACGCUGGCGGCGUGCUUAACACAUGCCAGUCGAACGGAAAGGCCCUGCGUUUGUGGGGUGCUCGAGUGGCGAACGGGUGAGUAACACGUGAGUAACCUGCCCUUGACUUUGGGAGAACUUCAGGAAACUGGGGCUAAUACCGGAUAGGAGCUCCUGCUGCACAGUGGGGGUUGGAAAGUUUCGGCGGUUGGGGAUGGUCUCGCAGCUUAUCAGCUGCUUGGUGGGGUAGUUUCUUACGAAGGCUAUGACGGGUAGCCGGCCUGAGAGCGUGACCGGCCACAUUGGGACUGAGAUACGGCCCAGACGCCAACGGGAGGCAGCAGGGGGGAAUAUUGCACAAUGGGCGGAAGCCUGAUGCAGCAACGCCGCGUGCGGGAUGACGGCUUUCGGGUUGUAAACCGCUUUCGACUGUGACGAAGCGUGAGUGACGGUAAUGGGUAAAGAAGCAACGGCUAACUACGUG